AGGCAGCAGUGGGGAAUAUUGGACAAUGGGGGGAACCCUGAUCCAGCCAUGCCGCGUGUGUGAAGAAGGCCUUAUGGUUGUAAAGCACUUUAAGCGAGGAGGAGGCUUACCUGGUUAAUACCCAGGAUAAGUGGACGUUACUCGCAGAAUAAGCACCGGCUAACUCUGUGCCAGCAGCCGCGGUAA
This 186-nucleotide ribosomal RNA is filed under the name uncultured bacterium. RNAcentral's name for it is "partial 16S ribosomal RNA". It matches the Rfam family "Bacterial small subunit ribosomal RNA", at positions 346 to 523 of the family's 1533-position model. The record is from RNAcentral.